UUCGCAAUGCCCGAAAGGGUGACGAAGCGACGCCGCGUGCGGGAAGAAGGCCUUCGGGUUGUAAACCGCUGUCGGGAGUUAAGAAAUGCAAGGGUGUUAACAGCGUCCUUGCUUGACUAAGGCUCCGGAGGAAGCCACGGCUAACUCUGUGCCAGCAGCCGCGGUAAUACAGAGGCGGCAAGCGUUGUUCGGAAUUAUUGGGCGUAAAGAGCACGUAGGCGGCUGUGUAAGUCGGUUGUGAAAGCCUUCCGCUCAACGGAAGAAGCGCAUCCGAUACUGCAUAGCUCGAGUGCGGGAGGGGAGAGUGGAACUUCUGGUGGAGCGGUGAAAUGCGUAGAUAUCAGAAGGAACACCGGCGGCGAAGGCGACUCUCUGGUCCGUAACUGACGCUGAGCGUGCGAAAGCUAGGGGAGCAAACGGGAUUAGAUACCCCGGUAGUCCUAGCCGUAAAC
This 452-nucleotide ribosomal RNA is filed under the name uncultured bacterium. RNAcentral describes it as "bacterial SSU rRNA". It matches the Rfam family "Bacterial small subunit ribosomal RNA", at positions 365 to 807 of the family's 1533-position model. The record is from RNAcentral.